AGGCGCGAAUUGAUGCGCAAACGGGAUAUCCGCACCGGAGCGAACUUAAGCGAGGCGAGCGAUGACAGGUGGCGGUCAGGCCUCGGCACGGCAGGCCGAAGAAUCCGACUCCGAGCGGCCGAGGAAAAGGGACGGGCGAGAGGAAGGCGUUUCCAAGGAGGGCUUCGUUGCAGCGGAGGUCGACGCCGGGCGGCACGUCGGUGACCGGUGACGCUCUGUCUCGUGAGGGAUGAAGCGGAACCCGGCGGAUGGGGGAGCGUCCCGGUUAGAUGACCUUUUCCCCAUGAGAAGGGAAUCUGGAUUCUGCCCUCUGAAAGCCCCGACCAACUGCACAACAAGCCUUGUUAAGGGCCAAUCGGCACACAAUACCUGACUUAGUCCCACCUCGCCAAAAGUAUAAAUCUGGCAUUUAGAAUCCUCUUUUUUGAGGAUGAGAACUCCAACUAUCCGGACGGGUCGACGGGCCUGGACCUCUCUCUCCUCCCCAAGCAGGGACGCCUCUUUGGUAAGACUUGCGCCUCCGAUUAUGUCGGAUGUUACCCCGGGAAAACUAUCAUUAACAAAAGCGCUGAACUAUUAACUUGAGCUCAAAAUUGUUGCAGUAAGUGCAUUUAUCAACGGCAGUUCCAAAC
This is a long non-coding RNA of Grus americana (Whooping crane), 632 nucleotides long. RefSeq lists it as uncharacterized. The record is from RefSeq and is a predicted model, not a curated record. Lineage: Eukaryota; Metazoa; Chordata; Aves; Gruiformes; Gruidae. The transcript has 3 exons.